AAGGGUUGGAAAGUAAUUCUCUGGCUUCGCUACCUACACACAGACCCACAAAAUUUUGAGGAUCCUAUGUGCUUUAACCCUGACAGAUGGAAUGAACCAGCGAAACCAGGAACGUACCAAGUAUAUUUGGUGGUGGAAUGAGAAUUUGUGCUGGGAACAUGCUUGCAAGACUUCAACUAGCAAUUAUGCUUCAUCAUCUGUCUACAGGAUACAAGUGGGGACUAGUGAAUCCAGAAGCGGCCAUGGUUUAUCUACCACAUAAAAAACCUGUAGAUGGGGUUGAGGUUUUCUUCAGUAAAUUGUAGGAAAAAGCAUUCCCAGUUUCAAGGAUUCUCUAGUCUGUAUUAAUGUGAAGUUACCAUCACUAGGGCG
This is a long non-coding RNA of Prosopis cineraria, 372 nucleotides long. RefSeq lists it as uncharacterized. The record is from RefSeq and is a predicted model, not a curated record. The transcript has 3 exons. NCBI's taxonomy places the organism in Eukaryota, Viridiplantae, Streptophyta, Magnoliopsida, Fabales, Fabaceae.